RNAcentral lists this signal recognition particle RNA (312 nucleotides) under Moschus moschiferus (Siberian musk deer). RNAcentral's name for it is "Metazoan signal recognition particle RNA (ENSMMSG00000022151.1)". It matches the Rfam family "Metazoan signal recognition particle RNA". From Rfam's summary of the family: The signal recognition particle (SRP) is a universally conserved ribonucleoprotein. The record is from RNAcentral. Lineage: Eukaryota; Metazoa; Chordata; Mammalia; Artiodactyla; Moschidae.
GCCAGGCGCGGUGGCGCGUGCCUGUAAUCCCAGCUACUCGGGAGGCUGAGGGUGGAGGAUCGCUUGAGCCCAGGAGUUCUGGGCUGUAGUGCGCUAUGCCGAUCGGGUGUCCGCACUAAGUUCGGCAUCAAUAUGGUGACCUCCCGGGAGCGGGGGACCACCAGGUUGCCUAAGGAGGGGUGAACCGGCCCAGGUCGGAAACGGAGCAGGUCAGUUAAGUUGUGUUCCCACUCAGGGGAAAGGUAUCUUGGGCCAUCUCUCCAGGACAUGCCUUCCUCCCUGUCCUGGAGAGCCUGUCUGGUCCAUCCUGCU